RNAcentral lists this ribosomal RNA (168 nucleotides) under Labroides dimidiatus (bluestreak cleaner wrasse). RNAcentral's name for it is "partial small subunit ribosomal RNA". The record is from RNAcentral. Lineage: Eukaryota; Metazoa; Chordata; Actinopteri; Labriformes; Labridae.
CACCGCGGUUAUACGAGAGACCUAGGUUGACAGCCUUCGGCGUAAAGAGUGGUUAAGACAAAUUAAAAACUAAAGCCAAAUGACUUCAAAGCUGUUAUACGCACAUGAAAGUACGAAGCCCGAUCACGAAAGUGGCUUUAAUACUCUGACCCCACGAAAGCUAUGAUA